Molecule: long non-coding RNA, 718 nt
Organism: Carya illinoinensis
Lineage: Eukaryota; Viridiplantae; Streptophyta; Magnoliopsida; Fagales; Juglandaceae
Exons: 4
Source: RefSeq, a predicted model, not a curated record
GAAACUGGAUAUUCAUCACACCCAAGAUUACUGCCCCCUUUUUAGACCCGACCCGAAAUACCGACACGUUGACCUGUAGAAUUGGAAACGGGUUAUACAGUAACCGUUUCCAUUUUAAUCGGAUAAUACCCGAAACCCAUUUCCUACACACAAAUGUGCACCGUGCAGUGCAGCUCGCAGUGAUUCUUUCCGUCGCCGACCUUGCUCUGUUGCUCAAAAACUCUCCCUCAUCAUUCUCAAGUCUCCACUAGAUUUUCGGAAUCAUCUAUAGAUCCAAUUUCAUCUGAAUGAUGUUGAAGGUUGAGGCUUUCUUGUAAAUCUAACAUCUAAGGUCCAGGAUUCCUUCAAAUUCUUUUCUGGGAAUUAACAUCUAAGAGAUAACUUUGAAGAAUAUUUUGAAUGAGGUCGAUUGAAGAUUCUUUGAAGAAUACACAAUUCUUUGGAAGAUAAUGUAAUAGAAGAUGUAAUAGAAGAUGAUGAAAGCUAUAAGUUAGAAACCGAGAUAACUUUGAAGAAUAUUUUGAAUGAGGUCGAUCGAAGAUUUUUUGAAGAAUACACAAUUCUUUGGGAGUAGGACCUAUGGAUACAAAAGCUGUUUGUGUAUUUUAAAAAUUAAACAGGACCUAUGGAUUUUUUGUUUAGUGUGAUUACUAAAAGUACAUUUAUACAACAUUAUUGGUUUAUUAAAUGAAUAGUAUACAUGAACAUUAUUGGUUUA